UGCAGUCGACGAGCUUCCGUUGAUGACGUGCUUGCACUGAUUUCAACAAUGAAGCGAGUGGCGAACUGGUGAGUAACACGUGGGGAAUCUGCCCAGAAGCAGGGGAUAACACUUGGAAACAGGUGCUAAUACCGUAUAACAACAAAAUCCGCAUGGAUUUUGUUUGAAAGGUGGCUUCGGCUAUCACUUCUGGAUGAUCCCGCGGCGUAUUAGUUAGUUGGUGAGGUAAAGGCCCACCAAGACGAUGAUACGUAGCCGACCUGAGAGGGUAAUCGGCCACAUUGGGACUGAGACACGGCCCAAACUCCUACGGGAGGCAGCAGUAGGGAAUCUUCCACAAUGGACGAAAGUCUGAUGGAGCAAUGCCGCGUGAGUGAAGAAGGGUUUCGGCUCGUAAAACUCUGUUGUUAAAGAAGAACACCUUUGAGAGUAACUGUUCAAGGGUUGACGGUAUUUAACCAGAAAGCCACGGCUAACUACGUGCCAGCAGCCGCGGUAAUACGUAGGUGGCAAGCGUUGUCCGGAUUUAUUGGGCGUAAAGCGAGCGCAGGCGGUUUUUUAAGUCUGAUGUGAAAGCCUUCGGCUUAACCGGAGAAGUGCAUCGGAAACUGGGAGACUUGAGUGCAGAAGAGGACAGUGGAACUCCAUGUGUAGCGGUGGAAUGCGUAGAUAUAUGGAAGAACACCAGUGGCGAAAGCGGCUGUCUAGUCUGUAACUGACGCUGAGGCUCGAAAGCAUGGUAGCGAACAGGAUUAGAUACCCUGGUAGUCCAUGCGUAACGAUGAGUGCUAGUGUUGGAGGGUUUCGCCCUCAGUGCUGCAGCUACGCAUAGCACUC
This 837-nucleotide ribosomal RNA is filed under the name Levilactobacillus brevis. RNAcentral describes it as "bacterial SSU rRNA". It matches the Rfam family "Bacterial small subunit ribosomal RNA", at positions 52 to 869 of the family's 1533-position model. The record is from RNAcentral. Lineage: Bacteria; Bacillati; Bacillota; Bacilli; Lactobacillales; Lactobacillaceae.